ACUACGGGUGGCAGCAGUGGGGGAUAUUGCACAAUGGGGGAAACCCUGAUGCAGCGACGCCGCGUGAGUGAAGAAGUAUUUCGGUAUGUAAAGCUCUAUCAGCAGGGAAGAAAAUGACAGUACCUGACCAAGAAGCCACGGCUAACUACGUGCCAGCAGCCGCGGUAAAACGUAGGGGGCAAGCGUUAUCCGGAUUUACUGGGUGUAAAGGGAGCGUAGACGGUUAUGUAAGUCUGGAGUGAAAGCCCGGGGCCAAACCCCGGGACUGCUUUGGAAAAUGUGUAACUGGAGUACAGGAGGGGCAGGCGGAAUUCCUGGUGUAGCGGUGAAAUGCGUAGAUAUCAGGAGGAACACCGGCGGCGAAGGCGGCCUGCUGGACUGAAACUGACGUUGAGGCUCGAAAGCGUGGGGAGCAAACAGGAUUAGAUACCCCUGUAGUC
RNAcentral lists this ribosomal RNA (440 nucleotides) under uncultured bacterium. RNAcentral's name for it is "partial 16S ribosomal RNA". It matches the Rfam family "Bacterial small subunit ribosomal RNA", at positions 338 to 795 of the family's 1533-position model. The record is from RNAcentral.